AUGUGUUCAUUUUAGUCCAAAGGGCAAGGUUUCUUUUACAUCCCUGAUUUUGGUGUGGAUAGGCAGCCUAGAGAGCGCAUUUUCAAUAUUGUUGUCACUAUUACUGAAGGGUCCGCUCUCACUAAAGAUAUUGAACAUGAAUUGAGCGUGUAUGUGGGUCAGGGGUGGAGGUGUUCAGCUAGAUUCUUUGCUCCGCAAAAAAUUGUUAUGAGAAUGCCGAACCCUAGAGAGGUUGACAAAGCUCUUUUUGUGGUACAUGUUAGACUUAAACAAUGUGGAGUUAGUGUUAAAUUUUCCCCAUGGUCCGAAGAUAUUGAUUCUGAAGGACUUCUGGAAGUUGCAUGGGUCAGAAUUGGCAAGAUCCCACCUAACAAAAGAUCUGAUAAAGUUGUAGCCUAUGUGAGGGGUUGGUUGGGAUCACUCUGGAGGUGGAUAUAUCGACCAUUAAUCGCCCUUCUUCUGUCAGAGCAAAAAUAG
Molecule: ribosomal RNA, 477 nt
Filed under: Triticum aestivum (bread wheat)
Lineage: Eukaryota; Viridiplantae; Streptophyta; Magnoliopsida; Poales; Poaceae
Description: partial small subunit ribosomal RNA
Source: RNAcentral